Molecule: long non-coding RNA, 751 nt
Filed under: Homo sapiens (human)
Lineage: Eukaryota; Metazoa; Chordata; Mammalia; Primates; Hominidae
Description: novel transcript
Source: RNAcentral
AUUGAGUGGGGAGCAAGAGAGAGAGCAAGGGACUACAACUUUAUUGGGAUCCCGGGCAUUAUCCAAGCAGACUCAUUUCAGUGGCAAUGUAAAUUUGGGAGAACGAAAUUAUCAUCUCACAUCUGCCACCAACUGCUGUUAGCUGUAGAAUGUCAUACGCGUCCAUGUGAAGAGACCACCAAACAGGAUUUGUGAUAUUGCCACGGUUUCUACGGGACUGAACAAAGGGGGACCCACACAGGAAUGAAAACUUAAAACAAAACAGCCACUAAGGAAGGCGCAGAGGGACUUCCUUUCGGCCCGAAACAGUAUCUGUGCUGCCAAAUUUAUCAACACAACUGUCAGAGAGAUCCUUUAAAAUAUAAAAAAAGAUCAUGUCUCUCCUCGGCCUAGAUAUCCUCUGCUGGCAUUCAUCUCAGGGAAGGAAAAUGCAAAUCUUUACAGGAGCUUCCAAGGACUUAUGAAGCCAACAUGAGUUCCCCAGUGGUUCUGCUGCAGCAACACUGUCUUCCUGCUCUCACUGAACACAGGAGGCUCAUUCCCAAGUCAAGGCAUUUGCAUUUUCUGUUUCCUUUGCCUGGGAUUUUCUCCCAUCAGAUAUCAGCAUGACUUAUUCUUUAUCUUUUUCCAUCUGUGGUGAAAUAUCAUUUCACCCUCUUUCUUUCACCCACUUUAAAUGUGCAAACCUCCCUAACCUCAGUGUUUGUUAUCCCCUUUCCCUGUUUUAAAAAUAGAGGCUAAUACCGUCUGA